GACGAACGCUGGCGGCGUGCUUAACACAUGCAAGUCGAACGAUGAAGAAGAGAAACGCGAACUUCGGUUCAAAUUUCACUUCGGAUUAGUGGCAGACGGGUGAGUAACGCGUGAGCAACCUACCUCUUACAAAGGGAUAGCCUCGGGAAACCGUGAUUAAUACCAUAUGACACAUUCAUAAGGCAUCUUAAGAAUGUUAAAGCUACGGCGGUAAGAGAUGGGCUCGCGUCCCAUUAGCUAGUUGGUGAGGUAACGGCCCACCAAGGCGACGAUGGGUAACCGGGCUGAGAGGGUGAACGGUCACAUUGGAACUGAGACACGGUCCAAACUCCUACGGGAGGCAGCAGUGGGGAAUAUUGCACAAUGGAGGGAACUCUGAUGCAGCGACGCCGCGUGAGCGAUGAAGGAAUUCGUUUCGUAAAGCUCUGUUCUAUGGGAAGAAAAGGACUGUACCAAAGGAGAAAGCCCCGGCUAAAUACGUG
This 482-nucleotide ribosomal RNA is filed under the name uncultured bacterium. RNAcentral's name for it is "partial 16S ribosomal RNA". It matches the Rfam family "Bacterial small subunit ribosomal RNA", at positions 28 to 507 of the family's 1533-position model. The record is from RNAcentral.